ACCACAGAAGGUAAUAGUCCUGUAUGUUAAACGAGAAGACUUUAGAUAUGAUCCAGAGUACCACGGGACACGUGAAACCCUGUGGGAAGCAGGAGGGACCACCCUCCAAGGCUAAAUACUACCUAGUGACCGAUAGCGUAUAGUACCGUGAGGGAAAGGUGAAAAGAACCCCGGGAGGGGAGUGAAAUAGAACCUGAAACCCUGCACUUACAAGCUGUGGAAGCACAUUUCUUGUGUGACCGCGUACUUUUUGUAGAACGGGCCAACGAGUUACGUUAAGUAGCAAGGUUAAGCACUUAAGGUGCGGAGCCGUAGCGAAAGCGAGUUUUAACUGAGCGUUCAGUUACUUGACGUAGACCCGAAACCGGGCGACCUACCCAUGAGCAGGAUGAAGCGAAAGUAAAAUUUCGUGGAGGUCCGAACCCACGGGCGUUGAAAAGCUCGGGGAUGACUUGUGGGUAGCGGUGAAAUUCCAAUCGAGCCCGGAGAUAGCUGGUUCUCCCCGAAAUAGCUUUAGGGCUAGCCUCAAGGUGAGAGAUACGGAGGUAGAGCACUG
This 556-nucleotide ribosomal RNA is filed under the name Clostridioides difficile. RNAcentral describes it as "partial 23S ribosomal RNA". It matches the Rfam family "Bacterial large subunit ribosomal RNA", at positions 354 to 912 of the family's 2925-position model. Lineage: Bacteria; Bacillati; Bacillota; Clostridia; Peptostreptococcales; Peptostreptococcaceae. The record is from RNAcentral.